This 465-nucleotide ribosomal RNA is filed under the name uncultured bacterium. RNAcentral's name for it is "partial 16S ribosomal RNA". It matches the Rfam family "Bacterial small subunit ribosomal RNA", at positions 28 to 504 of the family's 1533-position model. The record is from RNAcentral.
GACGAACGCUGGCGGCGUGCUUAACACAUGCAAGUCGAACGGAAAGGCCCUGCUUUUGUGGGGUGCUCGAGUGGCGAACGGGUGAGUAACACGUGAGUAACCUGCCCUUGACUUUGGGAUAACUUCAGGAAACUGGGGCUAAUACCGGAUAGGAGCUCCUGCUGCAUGGUGGGGGUUGGAAAGUUUCGGCGGUUGGGGAUGGACUCGCGGCUUAUCAGCUUGUUGGUGGGGUAGUGGCCUACCAAGGCUUUGACGGGUAGCCGGCCUGAGAGGGUGACCGGCCACAUUGGGACUGAGAUACGGCCCAGACUCCUACGGGAGGCAGCAGUGGGGAAUAUUACACAAUGGGCGGAAGCCUGAUGCAGCAACGCCGCGUGCGGGAUGACGGCCUUCGGGUUGUAAACCGCUUUCGCCUGUGACGAAGCGUGAGUGACGGUAAUGGGUAAAGAAGCACCGGCUAACUAC